This 365-nucleotide ribosomal RNA is filed under the name uncultured eukaryote. RNAcentral's name for it is "partial 18S ribosomal RNA". It matches the Rfam family "Eukaryotic small subunit ribosomal RNA", at positions 592 to 976 of the family's 1831-position model. The record is from RNAcentral.
CAAUAGCGUAUAUUUAAGUUGUUGCAGUUAAAAAGCUCGCAGUCGGAUUUUGGCUGAGAACGAUCGGUCCGCCGUUAGGUGUGCACUGAUUGGUCUCAGCUUCCUGGUGAGGAGGUGUGCUUCACGGCCACUUAGUCACCGUGGUUACUUUGAAAAAAUUAGAGUGUUCAAAGCGGGCUUACGCUUGAAUAUAUUAGCAUGGAAUAACACCAUAGGACUCCUGUCCUAUUUCGUUGGUCUCGGGACGGGAGUAAUGAUUAAGAGGAACAGUUGGGGGCAUUCGUAUUUCAUUGUCAGAGGUGAAAUUCUUGGAUUUAUGAAAGACGAACUUCUGCGAAAGCAUUUGCCAAGGAUGUUUUCAUUGA